UAUAUCAUUUUUAUUUUUUAUUUGCUACGUUUUUAUCGCAACAUUACAAUCACAGUUUGUAAACAGUAAUAUUUUGUCGGUAAUAAUAAAACUGAUGCAUGCUAUUUGAUCACAAUUAGCAACUCAACAACUGCUAAUCAUGUAUGUUUAAAGAUAAACAUUUUCGUUCAACAGACAUGAGUAACUAAUAUGCAGAGGUAGAUUGAGUAAAAAUGUAAUUAUAUAAAAAGUUAUAGUUAAAGUUAGGCCUUAUAGUAAUAACUGCUUGAGUAAAAGUAAAAGUAUGCAAUGGAAAAACUGCUUAAGUAGUGAGUUUAUAAUUCGUGUUGGUGUGGUUUAUAAUAAUUAACUACAUGAAAAUGCUUAGAACUGAUUAUAAAAGGUAAAAUAGCACAUUUAAAGUAGGUGCUUUCAAAAUUAUUACUCAAGUCAAUGUAAAGCAGUAAGCAUGUUUCUACCCACCUCUGCAGAAAAAACAUUAAUAAUUUCAUACCUUAAAAUGCCAAGUUAUGUUAAAUAAGAGAUGUGCUGUAUAAAAAGUUUUAAGUUUAUAGAGUGAAUGCUAAAAAUGUUGUUUUUACAAUUGCUUUUUAGUAUCUAUCAAUCAAUAUACUAUGUUAAUUGUAUAUUAUUAUUAUUUAGCAGGAGCUUGUUUCUUUGAAGAGAGCGCAUACCCUUCAUGGAAAGUCAGUAACGUUACUGUGGAGUACAACCAAGUCGCAAGCAAAAACUUCAAGCAAGAAUUGUUCUCAUCUCUUGCUAAACACGGUUUUAGAAGAUUUUGAAUGAAAGAAAAGUUUAAAAGCUCUCUUGAGUAUCUAAUAAACAUCACUGAUGACAGUGCUCGGUGGACGGUAGUUCUCUGUGGUCUUGCUAUCCUUCUUGCAGAAGACACUACAGACUUCCUGAAAACAAACAUGGUUAGUAUUCUUCUCGUUUAAUUAAUAUGAGAUGUCCUAAUUUUUGUGUUAGCAUUUAAUUAGCAUUAUUAAAGAAAUAAUGUGUAAAUAGAAGAUAAUUAAAGGCACCAAGGCACAUCCUUUUGUCCCACAAUUCUAUGCGUGAGCAUGCUCAGGAUUGGUCGAGCCUGGUUGAGUUCGAUAAAAUAAAAUGGUGGGCAAGAAAGCAACUGAGCACACAUUUAGUGUAAAUAAAGUAAUAUUUUCACUUUUGGUUGCAUUUCUAGCGAGAAAUUUGUAUUGUAGUUUUGAACUCUUUCCCCGCCAUUGAGUUAUUCCGUCAAUUAAGAGAAUCAAUAACUUCUGAUAAAUGCUGUGAAUAAAUGAAAACAUAAUUUAUUUGCCAGGUAAAGGUUUUAUGCCAAUUACAUAACCAAUUCAAAAAUUAUAAAGAAAGCAAAAAAUCAAAUAUUUAAAGAUCAAUCUGAGAUGUAUACCUGACAGUAGCGAAAUACAUCAACAUGACACUAUGGGUUUUGGUUUAUCGCAUUAUGAGUGAACAAAGCUUAAUACAGGUGUUAACAGUGUGUAAACCGUUUUGAGCUGUCCACUUUCGACUACAUUCAGAUGUAUUCAAAACAGUUUAGAACCGCUUAAACACGCUGUAACCCGUAUGCUGGAAAUAAUUUUGACAGGUACAGUUUAAUAAUACACAAAAUUAAAUCAAAUGUCUUUUAAUAACAUAUGAUG
Non-coding RNA from Misgurnus anguillicaudatus (oriental weatherfish), 1649 nucleotides. Lineage: Eukaryota; Metazoa; Chordata; Actinopteri; Cypriniformes; Cobitidae. The record is from RefSeq and is a predicted model, not a curated record.